This 1354-nucleotide long non-coding RNA is filed under the name Marmota monax (woodchuck). The record is from RNAcentral. Lineage: Eukaryota; Metazoa; Chordata; Mammalia; Rodentia; Sciuridae.
GUGGUUAAGUGCCCCUGGAUUCAAUCCUCAGUACCAAAAAAAAAAGUGACCCUGAAUUCAGAUCAAUGAGAGGAGGAAAAGAAAAAUCAUUAAAAGGGUGCUGGCACAGUCAUAUGAAAAAUAAAAUUGGUUUGGACCCAAUACCAGAUAAAUUAAAUAUGAAUACUAACACUUUUUAAUAAAAGAUUUAAAAGAAAACACAGGAUAUUAAUACAACAUUGAAUAUGAAAGUAUUUCCCAACGAAACUAUAAAAGAUAAAUUUGACCUGACAGCAUUAAAAUGUAAAACUUUUGUUGUCAAACUCGCUCAAAAAGAAAGAACAUAGAGAAUAUAUUUUCAAAAGUGCCAAAAUUUAAUUAGUAUUCAGAAUGCAUUAAGAACAUCUGAAUCAAUAAGGAAAGACACGGAAAAACCAGCAAAAAGUAUGAACUGGCAAUUAGCAGAUGAAGAAACAUCAAUGGCCAAUGUUAAAAAUUUUACUUCCAGUAAUUGUGAAUUAGUUCAUUCUAAUGAAUAAUCUCAUGAUAAAUACUUUUAGAAGCUGAAAAAAUGCAAAAUGUACUCUCUUGAAGAUACUUGAGAGUAAACUAGAUAGUUAAGGGCUGCUAGACCAGCAUCAGGGAGAGAAUGAGAGCUUAUCCUGUACUGCCAGGAUCUACAGAUGCUUCAGCAAGUAUGAACUAUUACAGUAAUGUUUUGUUUUUGUACUACUAACCUCAUACAUGCCAGGGAAAAUGCUCUGGCCUAGAGAUACACCCCUAUAAAAAUUUCAUUUUUUAAAUUAUUUAUAUAUUGGCACCAGGGAUUGAACCCAGGGGCACUUAACCACUGAGCUACAUCCUCAGUCCUUUAAAAUUUUUUUUUAUUUUAUAUAGUUGUAGAUGGACACAAUACCUUUAUUUUUGUUUAUUUAUUUGUAUGUGGUGCUGAGGAUCAAACCCAGUGCCACAGUGUGCAAGCAAGGCAAGUGCUCUACUGCUGAGUCACAACUCCAGAAGGCCCCCCAGUCCUUUUUAUUUUUUAUUUUGAGAAAGGAUCUCACUAAGUUGCUUGAAGCCUUACUAAAUUACUGAAGCUGGCUUUGAACUCUCCUUGAAUGGUUGGGAUUGCAGGCCUGCACCACUGCAUAUGACUAAAAAUUAUGUUUUCAGACAGGCUCUUGCUUAGUUGCCGAGGCUAGCCUCAAACUUGCAAUUCUCCUGCCACCUGUCAUGAUUGUGUUUUAAGCCUGUGAUUUUUGACAUGCUUUGUUUUCUUCUCCCAUAUUUUUAUUUAUGCAUUAUAGUUGUAUAUAAUGGAUUUUUUGUUACAUUCACAAAUGCAUGCAAUAAACAAUAUAAUUUGGCAAUAUCA